RNAcentral lists this ribosomal RNA (239 nucleotides) under Vibrio diabolicus. Its description in RNAcentral is "partial 16S ribosomal RNA". It matches the Rfam family "Bacterial small subunit ribosomal RNA", at positions 344 to 575 of the family's 1533-position model. The record is from RNAcentral. Lineage: Bacteria; Pseudomonadati; Pseudomonadota; Gammaproteobacteria; Vibrionales; Vibrionaceae.
GGAGGCAGCAGUGGGGAAUAUUGCACAAUGGGCGCAAGCCUGAUGCAGCCAUGCCGCGUGUAUGAAGAAGGCCUUCGGGUUGUAAAGUACUUUCAGUCGUGAGGAAGGCGGGUACGUUAAUAGCGUAUUCGUUUGACGUUAGCGACAGAAGAAGCACCGGCUAACUCCGUGCCAGCAGCCGCGGUAAUACGGAGGGUGCGAGCGUUAAUCGGAAUUACUGGGCGUAAAGCGCAUGCAGG